CCUACGGGAGGCAGCAGUAGGGAAUAUUGGGCAAUGGGCGAAAGCCUGACCCAGCAACGCCGCGUGAAGGAAGAAGGCCCUCGGAUUGUAAACUUCUUUUAUUCGGGACGAAACAAAUGGCGUUACAGAAUGAAUAAGCCACGGCUAACUACGUGCCAGCAGCCGCGGUAAUACGUGUGUGGCAAGCGGUAUUCGGAAUUACUGGGUGUAAAGGGCGUGUAGGGGGGAGAGCAAGUCAGAGGUGAAAUUCCAGGGCUCAACCCUGGAACUGCGUUUGAAACUGUUCUUCUUGAGGGAUGGAGAGGCAGGCGGAAUUCCGGGUGUAGCGGUUAAAUGCGUAGAGAUACGGAGGAACACCAGUUGCGAAGGCGGCCUGCUGGAAAUUAACUGACGCUGAGGCGCGAAAGCGUGGGGAGCAAACAGGAUUAGAUACCCUUGUAGUC
Molecule: ribosomal RNA, 443 nt
Filed under: uncultured bacterium
Lineage: Bacteria
Description: partial 16S ribosomal RNA
Rfam family: Bacterial small subunit ribosomal RNA
Source: RNAcentral